GCCGGACGCGGUGGCGCGCGUCUGUAAUCCAAGUCACUGGGAGGUUUAGUCUGGCGGACCGUUUGAACUCAGGAGUUCUGAGCCGCAGUGCUCUAUGCCGAUCGGGUGUCCUCGCUAAGUUCGGUAUCGAUAUGGUGCUCCUGGGGGGAGCCCGGGACCACCAGGUCGUCUAAGGAGGGGUGAAACGGCCCAGGUCGGAGACGGAGCAGGUCAAAGCCCCCCGUGCCGCUCAGUAGUGGGAUCGCGCCUGUGAAUAGACGCUGUGGUGCAGCCUGAGUAAUACAGCGGGACCCAGUCUUUU
The sequence is an unclassified non-coding RNA, 301 nucleotides long. It matches the Rfam family "Metazoan signal recognition particle RNA". From Rfam's summary of the family: The signal recognition particle (SRP) is a universally conserved ribonucleoprotein. The record is from Ensembl.